UUUCCGUAGGUGAACCUGCGGAAGGAUCAUUACCGAGAUAGGGUCUUCGGGCCCGACCUCCCAACCCUUUGUCUACCACACCAUGUUUGUUGCUUCGGCGGACCGGUCUCAGAACGUGCCUCCCUCGCGGGGGGCAGGGGAGAGACCGCCGGGACCUUUACCGGUCCGGGAGCGUCGUCCGUCGAUGGCCCAACCACAUAAACUCUUGAUGUAACCAUGUCGUCUAAAUGUUAUUUUGUAUAAUUACAAGUAAAAAACUUUCAACAACGGAUCUCUUGGUUCUGGCAUCGAUGAAGAACGCAGC
RNAcentral lists this unclassified non-coding RNA (304 nucleotides) under uncultured fungus. RNAcentral's name for it is "sequence contains ITS1, 5.8S rRNA gene". The stretch from base 256 to 304 matches the Rfam family "5.8S ribosomal RNA", at positions 1 to 49 of the family's 154-position model. The record is from RNAcentral. Lineage: Eukaryota; Fungi.